UACAUUGUUUACAAUUCCAGAAUUAUCACUUUAAAUUAUCACAUGGUCGGAAUUUACCAGUAGAUAUCAUACGUGUGUAUAAAUUUCUAGAAUGCAAAAAGAUUGUCUUGUCCGCAAGUUCUUUUGACUGAACGUUCACGUAAUCAUGUACGAGUCACAUCAUAAUUAGACGCUCAAUGUAGAACGAAAAAUUGUCAACCUCUAGGUUCCGUUAUCCAAUUGUUCUUGACUUAGGAUAAUUUUUUCGAAAGGUUCAAUUAAAGUCUUUGGAAUGCUUUGCAAUUUUGUCGUCUUUUAUAUUUUCUGCAUCUGAGGCUCAAAUCAU
RNAcentral lists this long non-coding RNA (325 nucleotides) under Mytilus galloprovincialis (Mediterranean mussel). Lineage: Eukaryota; Metazoa; Mollusca; Bivalvia; Mytilida; Mytilidae. The record is from RNAcentral.